CCUACGGGUGGCAGCAGUGAGGAAUAUUGGUCAAUGGGCGCGAGCCUGAACCAGCCAAGUAGCGUGAAGGAUGACUGCCCUACGGGUUGUAAACUUCUUUUAUAAAGGAAUAAAGUGAGGCACGUGUGCCUUUUUGUAUGUACUUUAUGAAUAAGGAUCGGCUAACUCCGUUCCAACAGCCGCGGUAAUACGGAGGAUCCGAGCGUUAUCCGGGUAUUUUGGGUUUAAAGGGAGCGUAGAUGGGUUGUUAAGUUAGUUGUGAAAGUUUGGGGCUCAACCGUAAAAUUGCAAUGGAUACUGGCAGCCUUGAGUACAGUAGAGGUAGGCGGAAUUCGUGGUGUAGCGGUGAAAUGCUUAGAUAUCACGAAGAACUCCGAUUGCGAAGGCAGCUUACUAAACUGCCACUGACAUUGAUGCUCGAAAGUGUGGGUAGCAAACAGGAUUAGAUACCCCGGUAGUC
This 460-nucleotide ribosomal RNA is filed under the name uncultured bacterium. RNAcentral describes it as "partial 16S ribosomal RNA". It matches the Rfam family "Bacterial small subunit ribosomal RNA", at positions 338 to 795 of the family's 1533-position model. The record is from RNAcentral.